Microplitis demolitor is the source of this 791-nucleotide long non-coding RNA. RefSeq lists it as uncharacterized. The transcript is spliced from 2 exons. The record is from RefSeq and is a predicted model, not a curated record. NCBI's taxonomy places the organism in Eukaryota, Metazoa, Arthropoda, Insecta, Hymenoptera, Braconidae.
GAAAGAUUCACUCAUCUACUAUACAAAAUGUUUAACAUAAAGAUAUUUUUAUUGGCAGUUUUGGUAAUGGCUUUGUUUGCUGCCGAAACUCAUGCAUGCGCUGGACUUGGCGAAGCAUGUACAACUGACAGCGAUUGUUGCAGUGGUAAUACAUGUAAAGAUUUCUUAUUCAAAUGUACAAUUUAAGUUAUCUUAAAUUAACUUUGAAUUCCAUUUCAACCCAGUUUAUAAAUAUAUUUGUUUUAAAUUUAUAACAAAAUAAUUACGACUAUUUUUUGUAUGAGGUCUGGUUUUAUUGUAAACAUAUGUAAAUUAUGUCCAACGAAAUUUAAAAGUACCCGUGAAAAAUGAAUCAUACAUGGCCGUAUAUGGCUCAUACGUGGAGCAUAUAUGGCCAUGCAUGACUGUAUUAAAAAAGUUGGUAUGUCCAUGUAUGGUCAUAUAUGCUCCAUAUAUGGCAAUGUAUGACCAUAUAUGCUUCAUAUAUGAGCCAUAUACGGUCUUGCAUGGCCAUGAAUGAUUCAUUUUUUACCAGAAUGCCCGCCUCGAACGCUCGUCCUGUGAUAAAUGAACCAUACUUGACCAUGCAUAGGCGUAUAUGGUUCAUAUAUGGUCAUACGUGGGCAGACAUACUUUUUCAAUAGUCAUGCAUGGCCAUAUACAGUCAUAUAAAACCAUGCAUGGCCAUACAUUUAAACUUUCUGUUGUAACUGUCUAAUUUUGUUUUAUUCUGACUUUAAUGUAACUUUUUUUGUUUUAAAUUUGAAUAAACUAUAUUUCAAUUGAAUCAA